AGUGAACGCUGGCGGUAGGCCUAACACAUGCAAGUCGAACGGCAGCACAGUAAGAGCUUGCUCUUACGGGUGGCGAGUGGCGGACGGGUGAGGAAUACAUCGGAAUCUACUUUUUCGUGGGGGAUAACGUAGGGAAACUUACGCUAAUACCGCAUACGACCUACGGGUGAAAGUAGGGGAUCUUCGGACCUUGCGCGAUUGAAUGAGCCGAUGUCGGAUUAGCUAGUUGGCGGGGUAAAGGCCCACCAAGGCGACGAUCCGUAGCUGGUCUGAGAGGAUGAUCGGCCACACUGGAACUGAGAUACGGUCCAGACUCCUACGGGAGGCAGCAGUGGGGAAUAUUGGACAAUGGGCGCAAGCCUGAUCCAGCCAUACCGCGUGGGUGAAGAAGGCCUUCGGGUUGUAAAGCCCUUUUGUUGGGAAAGAAAAGCAGCAGGUUAAUACCCCGCUGUUCUGACGGUACCCAAAGAAUAAGCACCGGCUAACUUCGUG
RNAcentral lists this ribosomal RNA (492 nucleotides) under uncultured bacterium. Its description in RNAcentral is "partial 16S ribosomal RNA". It matches the Rfam family "Bacterial small subunit ribosomal RNA", at positions 29 to 507 of the family's 1533-position model. The record is from RNAcentral.